GUUCGCGUGGUGUAGUCGGUUAUCACGUUCGCCUCACAAUGCUGAGAAGCUCGCGAAAGGUCCCCGGUUCGAUUCCGGGCGUGAACA
RNAcentral lists this transfer RNA (87 nucleotides) under Chloropicon primus. It matches the Rfam family "tRNA". Rfam says of the family: Transfer RNA (tRNA) molecules are approximately 80 nucleotides in length. Their secondary structure includes four short double-helical elements and three loops (D, anti-codon, and T loops). The record is from Rfam by way of RNAcentral. Lineage: Eukaryota; Viridiplantae; Chlorophyta; Chloropicophyceae; Chloropicales; Chloropicaceae.